UUGUUUUAUCUUACAGAUUUUCUCCACAUAACUUGUAAUUUCUAUGAUUUUUAGAGUUUUGUAUUAUUUUUGUAUCAUUCAUUCUUGAGAACAUAGGUGUCACUCGCUUAUUAGGCUUGAAUACUUACUGUUUAGAAACUUCAGGCUUUUUCUGUUAUUUCUUCUUUUUAACAUGAUUUUGAAUGUAGCCAUUAUGUGCUUUGUGUGGUUGCUUCUAAUUUUGGUGCAUCUAGAAUUUACUUGGACAUGUAAAAGAUGUAUGCUCUGAAAAGGAGUGACACUUUAUGAAAUGCAGCUAAACUUUUUUAUUUUAUUUUAUUUUGAGUAUUACUUAUAUAAUGUUAUAAAGGGUUGGUGAAUAAGAUAUCUUUAAAUUUCCCUAUUGUGUGAUAGCAAUUUGAGCAUUUAUGCUUAAUGCAAGGUAAUUUUACCAAGUGAUAAUUCUUGAUUCAAUGAAAAUAUCUGAUUUGUAUUUUGUACUGCAUAUUGAAGUAAGUCUAUAGUAUAUAGGAUACCUAUUUAUAGAGUGUCUAGGACCUAUAAACUACUGAUCAAAUAUACUAGAACCUACUAGAAUAUUCUUUAAUACACUAGAAUACUAUAUACUAACAUCCCCUCAAGUUGGAUGAAGGGGCAAAGCAACCAGAUGCAACUUGGAAACAAAAAAUUUGUGUUGUGGAGUGACCAAUGGCUUAGUGAAGAUGUCUGCAAGUUGAGAAGCUUUUUUGGAGUUGUUCUCUGACCAGAUGACAAUCAAUGUCAAGAUGUUUAGUUCUCUCAUACAAAACGGGGUUGUUAGCUAUGUGAAUAGCUGCUUGGUUAUCACACUGCAAAGAAAUAGGAAACUGCACAUUAACUCGCAAGUCUUUUAAUAUAUAUGAAACCCAUAAAAGCUUACACACGACAGCCCCCAUGCGUCGAUAUUCAGUUUCGACAGAGGAUUUAAAAAUUGUCUUCUGUUUUUUGGUCUUUCAGACAAAAGACAGUGACAGAUUGCCUAGAAAAGGAACAAAGUGGCUCAAUCUGCAUCACAAUAAGCUGAAAGAUUAGACAAGUUGAAUGUGGCAGAAAAAUAUAAUCCCUUAGAUAGAUAAGUCUUAAGAUAUCUUAAGAAAUGACAAGCGGCAUCCCAAUGGGGCUUUCUAGGACUUGACAUAAACUGACUGAGAUAAUGAACCGCAAAGCUAAUGUCAAGCGUAGUAAUAUUAAUAUAUAACAAUCUGCCAACUAGCCGCCUAUAUUUAUUAGGCUCAGAAAGUAAAUCACCAGCAAAAGGAUCAAGAUUCAAACCUUUGGGCAGAGGAGUAGAGGCAUUCUUAGCAUGUAACAUGCCGGUAUCACCUAAAACGUCAAAGAAAAAUUUCCUCGGAGCGAUAAGGGUAUCAGAAGUAGAUUUGCCAAUUUCUAAACUAAGAAAAUAUUUCAAAUAUUCAAGAUCUUUAAUAGUAAAUUUGCAAUGUAAAGCACAUUUAAUCUGAUCAAUGACAAACAGAAUUACCAAUUAUGAUCACAUCAUCUACAUAGAUAAGAAUAAUAGUAAAUGUACCAUUGUCAUCUCGUUUGAAAAGACAAUUAUCAUGUACUGAUUGAACAAAGCCUAAGGACUGGAGGAAGGACGUGAACUCCAAGUUCCAUUGCUGAGAAGCCUGCCUUAGACCAUAAAGUGAUUGUUUUAAUAAGCAAACUUGUCUUAGACUAGCUUUAGAAUAACCUGCAGGAGGCUGCAUGUAUACUUCUUCUUUCAGGAAACUAUGUAAAAAGGCAUUAUUAAUGUCAACUAAAAGAUUGCCAGUUUUUAGAAGUAGCUAAGGCAAUAAAAAUUCGGAUGGUAACAACUUUGGCUACAAUAGAAAAACGAUCUUUAAAAUCUAAUCCCUCUAUUUGGUUAUACCCCUUAGCCACUAAACGGACUUUAUAUCUGUCAACCUCCCCCAUUGGGCUUAGUCUUAACCUUGUAUAACCAUUUGGAACCAAUGGUCUUUUUACCUUUUGGAAGAUCAAUAAGUAUCCAGGUUCUAUUCUUUUCAAGAGCUAAAAGCUCAUGAUGCAUGGCUUUGACCCAAUUAUGGUCACUUGAAGCUUGAGUGAAAGUGCAAGGUUCAUGAAUGUGAGAAAUUGUGUUAAGGUAAGUGUAAUAUGAAGAUGUAAAGUGAACAGAUAAAUCAAAGUUAGAAGUAGUGGAUAAACGAUUCACAACAAAAUCUUGCAUCCAAGAUGGUUUAUUAUGAAUCUGGUGCUCUUUCUUAAAGGGAGAGUAGGAGAAAUGACCUGUUCCUAUGAAUGUGAUUGAGAAACACAAUCAGAUUGUGUUGGAGCCUGAAAAUUAGAGAAAGAACUUGAUGCAUCGUUAGGCAAAUUGACAGGAAGAACAGGAUUUGAAACAGAAGGCCCUUGAGAAGGAUGAUGUCGGAAAGGGAAAAUAGAUUUAUGAAAAAGAACAUCUUUGCUGACUGAUUUAUUUUGUGUCUAAGUUUUGUAAUCUAUAUCCCUUCUGAGUAGUGGAGUAUCCAAGGAGAAUACAUUUGGUAGAUCUAGGAUCAAACUUAUCUUUUUGAGGACUGUGAUUAAUGACAAAGCAUAAGCAACAAAUAGUUCUUAGGUGGUCAUAAUUGGGUGGUUUAUGAAACAAGGCUUCGAAGGGAGUUAACCAACCUAAAACUUUGACCGGUAUUCUGUUAAUGAUGUAGGUAGCAGCCAAUAUACACUCAGACCAAUAAGUUUUUGGAAAUUGAGCUUGGAUUCGGAUGGCCCUGGCUAUGUUGAGAAGAUGCUUAUGUUUAAUUUCUACUGUGCCGUUUUGUUAGGGUGUAUAAGGGCAAGUAGUUUGAUGGACAAUGCCGUGGGAAGAAAAUAAAAAAGCACACCUUUUAUUAAGAAAUUCUCUUCCAUUGUUGGAUCUUAUAUUUUUAAUUUUUGCUCCAAAUUGUUUAUUGACAUAUUGAAUGAAAGAUGUCAAAACAGAAUAUAUCUGAUCUUUAAACCUAAGCAUAUAGGUCCAAGUUGCUCUAGUUUUGUCAUCAACAAUGGUUAAAACAAAUCUAGCACUAGUGACAGAUUGAAUAGAAAAUAGUCCCCGUAAAUCUAUAUGCACAAAGUCGAAAGGAUUGAUAGUUAUAGUAUUACUGUUAUGAAAGAGUAAUCUAGACAUUUUAGCUAGAGGACAUAAGGCACAUGUGUGAUUAGUGUCAAUAAACUGCUUGAGCACAGGAAUAUGGGAUAUUUUAUGAUAAGAAGAGUGUCCUAAUUUAGUAUGAAGAACAGAGAAAGGAAUUUUUAUUAUGGAAUUUGCAAGAGAUGUAGUUUCUUUAUUGCAUUUUUGAAACUCAGCAACUUUUACAUUGAGAUUUGAAGUAACUUUAUUACAAAUAGAGUCAACACAGGACUGAAUAUUGGAAACAGAAAAACUACUAUUGUCUAAAAUGUAUAAUUUACUGAUUAUUUAGCCAACAGCUAUAAUAGACCUAUUCUUUUGGUCCUGAAAGAAGCAACAAGAUGAAUAAAACUGUACUGUCAAAUUGGUAUGUUUAAGCAAUUUAGACACAGACAAAAGAUUCAUAUUAAAAUCAGGAACAAGGAGAACAUCAAUUAAUUUUAUGUGUGUGCAAAGCAACAUUUCCAAUGUGUGAGACCUGUGUGGAAGAGCCAUUUGGCAAAUGCACUAUUAUUGGUGCAGGUGCAGAACAUAUAGAUAUCAUAUGACGCUUAUAUGGUGUGGCAUGAUGUAAUGCACUAGUAGCAAUGAUUCAUGCCUCUGUUCCAGUUACCAUAGCACAACAAGCAAAAACUGAAGAAAUUUUAUGAUUGAAGGUGCUGAAGUUAUUACCAGAACAAUCGGUUGGAUUGUAAGAGUAGGUUGAAUGCAAAUUAACUGUAUUUAUUGUAGCAACCGCUUUACCUUUGACCAACCUGCUCAUUUCUUGCUGCAGUAGUUCGAGUUUUGUAUUAACUUCAUCUAUUUUGCUUAAUUCGAUGGUGGCGAUCGAUGCAGCACCUGCCAGUGGUGUUUUUAGGACUGAUUCUACACUGUGACCUUCAACGUGUGAGAUGUGAGCUGUGUAUCUCGGUUUGAAUGCCUCUGGAUUGGUGAAUUGCUUGUUCUUGUUCUUAAAUCAUUCUGGAGCAUUCAGCUCGUGUAUGUCCAUCUAAAUUGCAGUAUUCACAGUGGCCCUUCCUCGCAUCAUACUUCCUGUAAUCUCGCCUGUUGCCUUGAGAUCGGACGGCUAAAGCAGCUACCUCAAUGUGUUCUGUGAGGUUGGUUUGGACUUCCUUUUGAGACUCUACCCGUAGAAUCAUCGAGAAAGGUUUGUUCACCGUGGGUAAUGGAUCCAGUAGCAGUACUUGAUUGCGAACUUGAUCAAAACUAUCGUUGAGCCCCAUUAGAAAUUGCAUUAGAUGAUCCGCAUUGUGGAUUUCUGUUGCCAGCUUCUCUGACCCGCAAUUGCAUGGAGGUAUCGUCACAAUGUUGGCCAAUUCGUCCCAUAGCUACUUCAAUUUGUUGUAGUAUGUUGUCAUAGAGAGAUUAUCUUGGGAGAUCGAUGUUAUUCUUUGCUUGAUUUGAUAGAUCAUUGGCCCGUUGCUUCCGUCGUAUCGUUCUCCUAAUUCGACCUAGAGCUCUCGAGCGGUGGUGGCAUAGAGGAAACUUUUGACAAUGUCCUUCAAAAUAGAAUUGAGGAUCCACGAUGUCACCAUAUAGUCGCAUCACCUCCAUCUGUCUUAAUCUUCAGAUCCAUCCUCAGGUAGGGCGAGUUUCCCUUUCAUGAACGCGAGUUUGUUCUUCGCACCGAGAACGGUUUUCAUCGCUCGAUUUCAGCCUCUAUAAUUGAUUUCGUUUAAUUGAACAGAGACGAGAACCAUUGCCGGAUUAUCUGAAUUUUGCAGCCCCAAGGUGUCAUCAACGAUUGUUUUGGAGAUCGUCGGAACCAAAUGGCUCUGUGACCUAGUAGAGCUUCUCUCCGCCAUUUCUCAUUGUGAGGAAAUAUUUCGGGAGGGAGAAGGGAAGAAGCUAGGUAAAUGGCUUUGAUACCAUUUUGAUUUAAUGAAAAUAUUUGAUCUGUAUUUUGUACUGUAUAUUGAAGUAAGUCUACAGUAUACAAGAUACCUAUUUAUAGAGUGUCUAGGACCUAUAGACUACUAAUCAAAUAUAUUAGAACCUAUUAGAAUAUUCUUUAAUACACUAGAAUACUAUAUACUAACAAUAAUAUUGUUGAAUAGUUUGUGUAACUUGUAUAUUGUGCCACUUAUUGUUGAGAUCUUCCUGGGAGAAAUUUUAAGGUGGAACAAUUAUACAAUUAUACAUGGAAUGACAAUUCCCUAGAAUUUAAAUUAGAUAAAAUAUAACUUAAAAAUAAAAAAGUGAACCCUAAAAAAAUUGGACAGUUUUUUCUUUUUGAUAAUUGUAUUUAAGAACAUAUUUCAAUUAUCGAGCCUGAGAAUUGGGAGAAUGUUUAGGAGCAGUUUUCCAGAUCUGUGUUGUAUUCAUUUAAUAUGUUAUGUUGUAGAAUGUAAGCAGUGUUUUCCACAGAAAAUGUCUGAUUUCUUAGGGAUCACUGGGUUCUUUUUUCUUGAGCCGUAACUACCAAUCAUAGGUAGACAAGUUAGGAAAACGGACGAGAAAUCCAGGUAAGGAUCCUCAUCUGGACUUUCUGUUCACCAUCCCAUGUCUUGAUCUAUAGAUAAGAACCAUAGCACUUAAUUCCCUAAGCUAGGUGAUUAAUAAACAUCUUACAUUAUUGCUGGUUAUAACCUACGAUGCUUGACUUUUGCUGUAACCACUUAUUUUCUUAGUACACCAACUGCUUUUAGAUAUUCCUAGGUCCACCAACUGAAUCAAUGCUAAGAGGAUGAGCCAAACUGUCGGCAAUAAUCCAUAUGAGUUGACUACCAUUUAGUCACAAAGCAAUUGAUAAGUUUGCUGUUGAAAAAUAUGCAAAUGAGUAUCUAGCAGUGAUCUUCCUUUUGAUGAGUUCUCUUGAGACUGGGAUGAAAACAUAGGGAAAUGUUCAGCGUCGAAUUCAGUUGUUUCUCUGCCUAUACAUCAAUCAGUAUUUGAGAGAAAUUUUCAAUAACUGAGUUUCAUGUAUAGUGUUCUGUAAAAUGGCAUGUAAACCGGAAUGGAUUGCAUGAGAAGCAAUAAGCUGCAUUGAAAUGGGAUGUCGAGAUCAGUCAAUGAAAUGAUCAGAUGUGAAACAGAAGCAUUUGGGAUAAGCUAGAACCCACUCUUAGUGAUGUCUGUUACUUUGUACAGAUUGGCAUGGAUUGAUUGAUUUAAAAAGCUGAAAAGAUGGAAUAGUGCAAGUAGCACACAAUAGGGUGAGAGAGCUCUCAAAAGAGAAGGGAAAGAGCGUGUUUCAGGUUCUAUUUCUCUAACUUGACAUGAUAGUUUCAACUUCAGCGAAAGGCAUUGUAAAAUUAAUCACUUGGUAUUGUACUUGCAAUGCCACCUUUUUCUAGUUCUAGAAGUGGUUGUUCUUUAACCUUACAUGCUGCCGGUAGGUAUACAAUUUCCAAUUGAUGCUAGCCACUUUGCAUCAGAUAGUGUGACUGCAGUUUGCUGGCCCAUGUUUCUGCAAAAUUUUGCCCCUUGAAGACACAAGUGCAGGUCUAUUGAUGAAAUUAUCAAAUGGUUGGUAGCAUAUCAAAUUGAUGGCUAUCGUUAGGGGGGAUCAACCAAGAGAACGUGGUUUUUAAUUUGAAAGUGAUGCCAGCACAAGGUUGUUGCUAAACUACAUGGACUAUGUUGUUGUUCCAGUCUCCAGUAUGGGCGUGUAUCAGGCUUCUCUUAUUUGUAGCACUAGGGAAAAUCUUCAUAAAACCUGGAUAAGAAUAUAUAGAAAAAUAAGUGAUUUUUAUGGUUUCAAGGAUGAUGGAGAGUAAUGGCAAAUGAAGGUUCUUUGCUGGUUAAUCCAAGAACGUUCAAAUUUUCGUCUGGAAUUGAACUGGCAGAUUGUGGUCCGGUUCAAAGACAAUUUUGAUCACUUCUAGUUCUGAACUGGGCGAACUGGCCAUUUAGUAAUAAGAAUCCAACAAACUGCCUGUCAGCAAGCAAGAAUGAAAUACAAAACCCACCUUCCAAAAUUUACUUCUUGAAGAUAUCCAUCUGAUCAAAUGGUAAAUAGAAUUGUGGUGAAAGGUGUCUUAUAAAUAGAAUCCCG
RNAcentral lists this long non-coding RNA (7151 nucleotides) under Manihot esculenta (cassava). Its description in RNAcentral is "long non-coding RNA (MESC_LNC008820)". Lineage: Eukaryota; Viridiplantae; Streptophyta; Magnoliopsida; Malpighiales; Euphorbiaceae. The record is from RNAcentral.